GGCUCUUUAUAUGAGAACCGGAGAAGACACUCUUGUCACGAACCAAACCAAAGACCAUACACAUUAAUUGAAAAAGAUUCAAAGGCUUAAGCAUAAACCAUAACCAUUCAUUCAUACCGACUAACCGAGGAGAUAGAAAGGGAGAAUAGAGUUGAAACCGUAAGAGCUCUGAAAUCUCAAGACGCCAAUAACCAAAACUAUUCGCGACACCCUAACCACAUAUUUGAACCAGAAAUUACUUCCUUCGCGAACCAGAUCAAAAGUAUGAACCAAGAGUGGGCACACCUUCGAACCAAAACUCAUCACAAGUCAACCCAACCAUAAUUCUAAACAAGAACAGAACCGCAAAGCACUA
Molecule: long non-coding RNA, 355 nt
Filed under: Brassica napus (rape)
Lineage: Eukaryota; Viridiplantae; Streptophyta; Magnoliopsida; Brassicales; Brassicaceae
Description: long non-coding RNA (BNAP_LNC025081)
Source: RNAcentral